Molecule: RNase P RNA, 461 nt
Filed under: Desulfobacteraceae bacterium
Lineage: Bacteria; Pseudomonadati; Thermodesulfobacteriota; Desulfobacteria; Desulfobacterales; Desulfobacteraceae
Description: RNase P RNA component class A
Rfam family: Bacterial RNase P class A
About the family: Ribonuclease P (RNase P) is a ubiquitous endoribonuclease, found in archaea, bacteria and eukarya as well as chloroplasts and mitochondria. Its best characterised activity is the generation of mature 5'-ends of tRNAs by cleaving the 5'-leader elements of precursor-tRNAs.
Source: RNAcentral
AGAGUAGGACAAAUGGCCGCCGCCUUGGCUUCAAGGGGGAGGAAAGUCCGGGCUCCGCAGGACAAGGUGCUGGGUAACACCCAGUCCCGGCGACGGGAAGGAAAGUGCAACAGAAAGGAAACCGCCAGGCACUCAGUCACAUAUCAACACUCAACGGAUACAUUAAUUCAUGACAACAUCAGGUAUCCGGAUUUUAUGCAUGAGUGGUGGCAUGUAACUGAGUGCCUGGUAAGGGUGAAAGGGUGAGGUAAGAGCUCACCAGACCCGCCGGUGACGGCGGGGGCUUGGCAAACCCCACCUGGAGCAAAACCAAAUAGGGGAACGACUGAGGGUGGUCCGCCCGAGUUCCCGGGUAGGUCGCUUGAUCUCGACGGUAACGUCGAGGCUAGAUGAAUGGUCAUUGUCCCGAAGGCGGGUGACCCCUUCGGGAAACAAGACCCGGCUUAUGGCCUUCUCUGACA